Molecule: ribosomal RNA, 497 nt
Filed under: uncultured bacterium
Lineage: Bacteria
Description: partial 16S ribosomal RNA
Rfam family: Bacterial small subunit ribosomal RNA
Source: RNAcentral
GAUGAACGCUGGCGGCGUGCCUAAUACAUGCAAGUCGAGCGAACGGACGAGAAGCUUGCUCCUCUGAUGUUAGCGGCGGACGGGUGAGUAACACGUGGAUAACCUACCUAUAAGACUGGGAUAACUUCGGGAAACCGGAGCUAAUACCGGAUGAUAUAUUGAACCGCAUGGUUCAAAAGUGAAAGACGGUCUUGCUGUCACUUAUAGAUGGAUCCGCGCUGCAUUAGCUAGUUGGUAAGGUAACGGCUUACCAAGGCAACGAUGCAUAGCCGACCUGAGAGGGUGAUCGGCCACACUGGAACUGAGACACGGUCCAGACUCCUACGGGAGGCAGCAGUAGGGAAUCUUCCGCAAUGGGCGAAAGCCUGACGGAGCAACGCCGCGUGAGUGAUGAAGGUCUUCGGAUCGUAAAACUCUGUUAUUAGGGAAGAACAUAUGUGUAAGUAACUGUGCACAUCUUGACGGUACCUAAUCAGAAAGCCACGGCUAACUACGUG